This 194-nucleotide non-coding RNA is filed under the name Anaerocolumna xylanovorans. RNAcentral also lists the same sequence under 1 other name. Lineage: Bacteria; Bacillati; Bacillota; Clostridia; Lachnospirales; Lachnospiraceae. The record is from RNAcentral.
AAAAUUAAAUACGUUUAAGGUGUCAGAAAAGCAUAUGCUUGGUUCUGAUGAAAAGGGAAACAGGUGCAAAUCCUGUACGAACUCGUCACUGUGAUAAGGGAGUUUGCGGCAAAUAAGUCACUGAUAUUAAUUGGGAAGGCUGCCGUAAAUGAUAAUCUUUCAGCCAGGAGACCUGCCUUAAAUGAAAUUUGUAC